GACGAACGCUGGCGGCGUGCUUAACACAUGCAAGUCGAACGGAAAGGCCCUGCUUUUGUGGGGUGCUCGAGUGGCGAACGGGUGAGUAACACGUGAGUAACCUGCCCUUGACUUUGGGAUAACUUCAGGAAACUGGGGCUAAUACCGGAUAGGAUCUCCUGCUGCAUGGUGGGGGUUGGAAAGUUUCGGCGGUUGGGGAUGGACUCGCGGCUUAUCAGCUUGUUGGUGGGGUAGUGGCUUACCAAGGCUUUGACGGGUAGCCGGCCUGAGAGGGUGACCGGCCACAAUGGGACUGAGGUACGGCCCAGACUCCUACGGGAGGCAGCAGUGGGGAAUAUUGCACAGUGGGCGGAAGCCUGAUGCAGCAACGCCGCGUGCGGGAUGACGGCCUUCGGGUUGUAAACCGCUUUCGCCUGUGACGAAGAGUGAGUGACGGUAAUGGGUAAAGAAGCACCGGCUAACUACGUG
Molecule: ribosomal RNA, 468 nt
Filed under: uncultured bacterium
Lineage: Bacteria
Description: partial 16S ribosomal RNA
Rfam family: Bacterial small subunit ribosomal RNA
Source: RNAcentral